CAGAAAUUUCGCAUGCAUUGAAAAGAUUAUAUCUCAAAAACUAAAACUGAUAUUUAAAAAUGGACACCAUUGUUGACAAGUUGUUUUGAAGUUGAUCGAAGAAAAAUUAAAAAUUACCAGAAAAUUCGAAUGCUUUAGAAAGAUUGUAUCUCAAAGACUAAAACUGAUAUUUCAAAAUGGACACCAUUGUUGACAACUAGGCAGUUUAGUUGAUAAUUGGUGAUAAUUUCAUGAACAUUUUCUAAGAAAUCGAUUGUUCAGGAAGCUUUAAAGUUGAUCGAAAAAAAUGGAAAAUUACCAGAAAUAUUGAAUGCAUUAGAAAGAUUGUAUUUCAAAAACUAAAACUGAUAUUUAAAAAUGGACACCAUCGUUGACAAGAAGAUUUAAAGUUGAUCGAAGAAAAAUUAAAAAUUACCAGAAAUUUCGAAUGCUUUAGAAAGAUUGUAUCUCAAAAAUUAAAAAUGAUAUUUCAAAAUGAACAUCAUCA
Molecule: non-coding RNA, 487 nt
Organism: Onthophagus taurus
Lineage: Eukaryota; Metazoa; Arthropoda; Insecta; Coleoptera; Scarabaeidae
Source: RefSeq, a predicted model, not a curated record